GACGAACGCUGGCGGCGUGCUUAACACAUGCAAGUCGAACGGAAAGGCCCUGCUUUUGUGGCGUGCUCGAGUGGCGAACGGGUGAGUAACACGUGAGUAUCCUGCCCUUGACUUUGGGAUAACUUCAGGAAACUGGGGCUAAUACCGGAUAGGAGCUCCUGCUGCAUGGUGGGGGUUGGAAAGUUUCGGCGGUUGGGGAUGGACUCGCGGCUUAUCAGCUUGUUGGGGGGGUAGUGGCUUACCAAGGCUUUGACGGGUAGGCGGCCUGAGAGGGUGACCGGCGACAAUGGGACUGAGAUACGGCCCAGACGGCUACGGGAGGCAGCAGUGGGGAAUAUUGCACAAUGGGCGGAAGCCUGAUGCAGCAACGCCGCGUGCGGGAUGACGGCCUUCGGGUUGUAAACCGCUUUCGCCUGUGACGAAGCGUGAGUGACGGUAAUGGGUAAAGAAGCACCGGCUAACUACGUG
Molecule: ribosomal RNA, 468 nt
Filed under: uncultured bacterium
Lineage: Bacteria
Description: partial 16S ribosomal RNA
Rfam family: Bacterial small subunit ribosomal RNA
Source: RNAcentral